This 497-nucleotide ribosomal RNA is filed under the name uncultured bacterium. RNAcentral describes it as "partial 16S ribosomal RNA". It matches the Rfam family "Bacterial small subunit ribosomal RNA", at positions 28 to 507 of the family's 1533-position model. The record is from RNAcentral.
GAUGAACGCUGGCGGCGUGCCUAAUACAUGCAAGUCGAGCGAACAGAUGAGGAGCUUGCUCCCCUGACGUUAGCGGCGGACGGGUGAGUAACACGUGGAUAACCUACCUAUAAGACUGGGAUAACUUCGGGAAACCGGAGCUAAUACCGGAUAAUAUAUUGAACCGCAUGGUUCAAUAGUGAAUGACGGUUUUGCUGUCACUUAUAGCUGGAUCCGCGCCGCAUUAGCUAGUUGGUAAGGUAACGGCUUACCAAGGCAACGAUGCGUAGCCGACCUGAGAGGGUGAUCAGCCACACUGGAACUGAGACACGGUCCAGACUCCUACGGGAGGCAGCAGUAGGGAAUCUUCCGCAAUGGGCGAAAGCCUGACGGAGCAACGCCGCGUGAGUGAUGAAGGUCUUCGGAUCGUAAAACUCUGUUAUUAGGGAAGAACAAAUGUGUAAGUAACUAUGCACGUCUUGACGGUACCUAAUCAGAAAGCCACGGCUAACUACGUG